UACGUAGGGGCCGAGCGUUGUCCGGAGUUAUUGGGCGUAAAGCGCGUGUAGGCGGUCCGGUAAGUCCGCUGUGAAAGUCGGGGGCUCAACCCUCGGAUGCCGGUGGAUACUGUCGGGCUUGAGUACGGAAGAGGCGAGUGGAAUUCCUGGUGUAGCGGUGAAAUGCGCAGAUAUCAGGAGGAACACCAAUUGCGAAGGCAGCUCGCUGGGACGUUACUGACGCUGAGACGCGAAAGCGUGGGGAGCAAACAGG
Molecule: ribosomal RNA, 253 nt
Filed under: uncultured bacterium
Lineage: Bacteria
Description: partial 16S ribosomal RNA
Rfam family: Bacterial small subunit ribosomal RNA
Source: RNAcentral